AAAUUGAAGAGUUUGAUCAUGGCUCAGAUUGAACGCUGGCGGCAGGCCUAACACAUGCAAGUCGAACGGUAACAGGAAGCAGCUUGCUGCUUUGCUGACGAGUGGCGGACGGGUGAGUAAUGUCUGGGAAACUGCCUGAUGGAGGGGGAUAACUACUGGAAACGGUAGCUAAUACCGCAUAAUGUCGCAGGACCAAAGAGGGGGACCUUCGGGCCUCUUGCCAUCAGAUGUGCCCAGAUGGGAUUAGCUUGUUGGUGAGGUAACGGCUCACCAAGGCGACGAUCCCUAGCUGGUCUGAGAGGAUGACCAGCCACACUGGAACUGAGACACGGUCCAGACUCCUACGGGAGGCAGCAGUGGGGAAUAUUGCACAAUGGGCGCAAGCCUGAUGCAGCCAUGCCGCGUGUAUGAAGAAGGCCUUCGGGUUGUAAAGUACUUUCAGCGGGGAGGAAGGGGAUAAGGCUAAUAACCUUGUUCAUUGACGUUACCCGCAGAAGAAGCACCGGCUAACUCCGUGCCAGCAGCCGCGGUAAUACGGAGGGUGCAAGCGUUAAUCGGAAUUACUGGGCGUAAAGCGCACGCAGGCGGUCUGUCAAGUCGGAUGUGAAAUCCCCGGGCUCAACCUGGGAACUGCAUUCGAAACUGGCAGGCUUGAGUCUUGUAGAGGGGGGUAGAAUUCCAGGUGUAGCGGUGAAAUGCGUAGAGAUCUGGAGGAAUACCGGUGGCGAAGGCGGCCCCCUGGACAAAGACUGACGCUCAGGUGCGAAAGCGUGGGGAGCAAACAGGAUUAGAUACCCUGGUAGUCCACGCCGUAAACGAUGUCUACUUGGAGGUUGUGCCCUUGAGGCGUGGCUUCCGGAGCUAACGCGUUAAGUAGACCGCCUGGGGAGUACGGCCGCAAGGUUAAAACUCAAAUGAAUUGACGGGGGCCCGCACAAGCGGUGGAGCAUGUGGUUUAAUUCGAUGCAACGCGAAGAACCUUACCUGGUCUUGACAUCCACAGAACCCUGUAGAGAUACGGGGGUGCCUUCGGGAGCUGUGAGACAGGUGCUGCAUGGCUGUCGUCAGCUCGUGUUGUGAAAUGUUGGGUUAAGUCCCGCAACGAGCGCAACCCUUAUCCUUUGUUGCCAGCGGUCCGGCCGGGAACUCAAAGGAGACUGCCAGUGAUAAACUGGAGGAAGGUGGGGAUGACGUCAAGUCAUCAUGGCCCUUACGACCAGGGCUACACACGUGCUACAAUGGCGCAUACAAAGAGAAGCGACCUCGCGAGAGCAAGCGGACCUCAUAAAGUGCGUCGUAGUCCGGACUGGAGUCUGCAACUCGACUCCAUGAAGUCGGAAUCGCUAGUAAUCGUGGAUCAGAAUGCCACGGUGAAUACGUUCCCGGGCCUUGUACACACCGCCCGUCACACCAUGGGAGUGGGUUGCAAAAGAAGUAGGUAGCUUAACCUUCGGGAGGGCGCUUACCACUUUGUGAUUCAUGACUGGGGUGAAGUCGUAACAAGGUAACCGUAGGGGAACCUGCGGUUGGAUCACCUCCUUA
Molecule: ribosomal RNA, 1542 nt
Filed under: Salmonella enterica subsp. arizonae
Lineage: Bacteria; Pseudomonadati; Pseudomonadota; Gammaproteobacteria; Enterobacterales; Enterobacteriaceae
Description: bacterial SSU rRNA
Rfam family: Bacterial small subunit ribosomal RNA
Source: RNAcentral